Molecule: ribosomal RNA, 293 nt
Filed under: uncultured bacterium
Lineage: Bacteria
Description: partial 16S ribosomal RNA
Rfam family: Archaeal small subunit ribosomal RNA
Source: RNAcentral
GUGCCAGCAGCCGCGGUAAUACCGGCAGCCCGAGUGAUGGCCGAACUUAUUGGGCCUAAAGCGUGCGUAGCUGGCUGCGCAAGUCCGUCGGGUAAUCAACUCGCCCAACGAGUGGGCGUCCGACGGAAACUGCACAGCGUGGGACCGGAAGGCUAGAAGGGUACGUUCGGGGUAGGAGUGAAAUCCCAUAAUCCCGCUCGGACCACCGAUGGCGAAAGCACUUCGAGAAAACGGAUCCGACAGUGAGGGACGAAAGCCAGGGUCUCCAACCGGAUUAGAUACCCCAGUAGUCC